CUGGGAACCCAUGAGUGGAGGCAGAGUGAAAUGUGUAUUCAGAGAAUCGGUUCUCUCCCCUUCCCAGACCACCUGCCCCUUGCCCAUAACCCAGCUCCCAUCUCAGGAAUGGCAUCCAGGGAGUGGGCUGUGCAUGUCCGCAUGCUUGCAGCACUAUUGAAUGGGUUCCUUCACAGGAUUCAGAGAACUGACUAGCCAAGCCAGGCCAGACUUCAAGGCUGCAGCCACUGGACAAAAAGAAUUCUCAUGAGGCCUUCUCCAUUUCACAGCCCUUUGUCUCUUCUGUAGGGUUCUGCCCUCAGCCCACCUCUCUCUCCUUGGGGAGCCCUGAUGUCUUCUACAGUUUGGAAUAACAUUCUAAAUCUAUGGCCUCCCAA
Suricata suricatta (meerkat) is the source of this 377-nucleotide long non-coding RNA. RefSeq lists it as uncharacterized. NCBI's taxonomy places the organism in Eukaryota, Metazoa, Chordata, Mammalia, Carnivora, Herpestidae. The record is from RefSeq and is a predicted model, not a curated record. The transcript is spliced from 4 exons.